RNAcentral lists this ribosomal RNA (447 nucleotides) under uncultured bacterium. Its description in RNAcentral is "bacterial SSU rRNA". It matches the Rfam family "Bacterial small subunit ribosomal RNA", at positions 329 to 793 of the family's 1533-position model. The record is from RNAcentral.
UACCAGACUCCUACGGGAGGCAGCAGUGGGGAAUAUUGCACAAUGGGGGGAACCCUGAUGCAGCGACGCCGCGUGAGUGAAGAAGUAUUUCGGUAUGUAAAGCUCUAUCAGCAGGGAAGAAAAUGACGGUACCUGACUAAGAAGCCCCGGCUAACUACGUGCCAGCAGCCGCGGUAAUACGUAGGGGGCAAGCGUUAUCCGGAUUUACUGGGUGUAAAGGGGGCGCAGACGGCGAUGCAAGCCAGGAGUGAAAGCCCGGGGCCCAACCCCGGGACUGCAUUUGAAACUGUCAGGCUGGAGUGCAGGAGAGGUAAGUGGAAUUCCUAGUGUAGCGGUGAAAUGCGUAGAUAUUAGGAGGAACACCAGUGGCGAAGGCGGCUUACUGGACUGUAACUGACGUUGAGGCUCGAAAGCGUGGGGAGCAAACAGGAUUAGAUACCCCGGUAC